UGGGGGAUAUUGCACAAUGGGCGAAAGCCUGAUGCAGCGACGCCGCGUGGGGGAGGAAGGUUUUGGGGUUGUAAACUUUUUUGGUAUUCAAACAAGGCCGGCUAGGGGGGGGUGGAGGUUGGGUGGGGAGGAAGCGCGGGCUACCUCCGUGCCAGCGGCGGCGGAAAUACGUAGGGCGCGAGCGUUGUCCGGAAUUAUUGGGCGUAAAGGGCUUGUAGGCGGCUUGUUGCGCUUGCUGUGAAAACGCGGGGCUUAACUUCGCGCGUGCAGUGGGUACGGGCAGGCUUGAGUGUGGUAGGGGUGACUGGAAUUCCAGGUGUAGCGGUGGAAUGCGCAGAUAUCUGGAGGAACACCGAUGGCGAAGGCAGGUCACUGGGCCAUUACUGACGCUGAGGAGCGAAAGCAUGGGUAGCGAACAGG
RNAcentral lists this ribosomal RNA (420 nucleotides) under bacterium. RNAcentral's name for it is "partial 16S ribosomal RNA". It matches the Rfam family "Bacterial small subunit ribosomal RNA", at positions 355 to 776 of the family's 1533-position model. The record is from RNAcentral.